This 253-nucleotide ribosomal RNA is filed under the name uncultured bacterium. RNAcentral's name for it is "partial 16S ribosomal RNA". It matches the Rfam family "Bacterial small subunit ribosomal RNA", at positions 524 to 776 of the family's 1533-position model. The record is from RNAcentral.
UACGGAGGGGGCUAGCGUUGUUCGGAAUUACUGGGCGUAAAGCGUGCGCAGGCGGCUUCUCAAGUCAGGGGUGAAAGCCCAGAGCUCAACUCUGGAAUUGCCUUUGAGACUGAGUGGCUUGAGUACGAGAGAGGUGAGUGGAAUUCCCAGUGUAGAGGUGAAAUUCGUAGAUAUUGGGAAGAACACCGGUGGCGAAGGCGGCUCACUGGCUCGUAACUGACGCUCAUGCACGACAGCGUGGGGAUCAAACAGG